The submitters of this non-coding RNA (124 nucleotides) gave its source as unclassified sequences. The record is from Rfam.
UUAAUGAAACUGACCGCUUUCAAAGAAAGCCGACUAACUAAUCUUCUGUAAUGCUAUUUAUGAGGAUUGCCCUUUGAGGUUUAUAGCAAUAGGCCACCCUAUGGUUAGUCAAUGAUUUUGUUGA